This 62-nucleotide non-coding RNA is filed under the name Scandinavium goeteborgense. The record is from RNAcentral. Lineage: Bacteria; Pseudomonadati; Pseudomonadota; Gammaproteobacteria; Enterobacterales; Enterobacteriaceae.
GAAAGCACGACAUUGCUCACAUUGCUUCCAGUUUAUAGCCAGCCUCGCGCUGGCUUUUUUUU